GUUGAGUUGUAUAAGUUGCUUGUAUAUUCUAGACAUUAAGUCCUUGUCAGGUGCAUCAUUUGAAACUAUUUUCUCCCAUUCUGUAAGCUGUCUUUUUGGAUAAAUACAUUAGCACCCAUUUAAAAAUAAAGGGAAGAAAUGUUUAUAGCCAAUAAAUAGCACAGACUCCGGUAAUGCCACUCAGCAGUUAUGGCAAUCAUCCAAUUUUUAAAACCUAAUCACACAUGAAUGCUGAUCCCUUGGCUACCAGUUUAUUAAAAUUUAUUCCAGAGGGCCAACUUUUUUUUUCCCCCCACAAAAGGAUGCUUUACUCAUUGUCGAAUGGUUCUUGGUUAUCUUUACCAGAUAGCUUUUGUAACAUUUCCAUUUUCUAAUACAGGCUUAUAAGACGUUUUGCAGAAAUAAAAAAAGAAUGAAAAAAAAGUGUUGUUUCUAUUUGUUCUUAUAGAAAGGUUAAGUGUUUUUGAUGUUUCUUUUUUUUCCUUAAAGAAAAAAAAAAGCAAACACUAAUUUCCACUUUGUUUCUUUAGGGAAAAGACCAUAGCAAUUAGUUUUCAAGGCAGUAAUUCUCAAGUGCACGUCCCUCCCGGCAGAAGCUUCACACGCAGCAGAACAUGUCUCGUGGGCAGCAGACCUUUCUACACUCUCUGCCAUUCUGCCUUUGCAUCUUUAUGCUUUCUUACUAAUUAAUUUUAUAAAACUGGAAAAACAAACAAAAAACUACAUAAAUCUAUACAAAGAUUUCCUCCAAAAACGUUUCACUGACUUUAAAUCCUUAGGAUCAGUGAUUCCCAAACUUUGGGAUUUCAUGGAGCAGUAGAUGAAAACCAAGGUGGGAGAUUCAACAUGGGGUCAGCAACUAUUUAUUUUUUCAAACAAAUAUAUAAAAAAUAGAAGCAAAGAAAACAAAAUAAAAUAACCCACCAACCCAGAAUCUGCUAGCAAAACUGUUCUAUGAAAUAAUGGCUCUUUUAACAUCAAAAAGAAUGGUUUCACAAAGGCCGUCUCCCAUGACUCAAGUGCAGACACCACAUACUCUCUCCUUCUCUCCUCUUUCAGGCAGACGGUAAAGAGUCACUGACUGGUACUUUGCAACCACUGCUCUGCAAUAGCUCACAGGUGCUGCUAAAACCCAGACUUGCAAAGUUUAACUGUUUCAAAAAUAGCUGUGCUGCUUAUAUAAUGAAGAAUUCUUGUUAAUAUUAGCUGAAUAUUGUGGCUAUGUCUUUGCCUUUCUUUGUCUUAUUAAAUCAGUGAAAAUCUCCAGACAUGCAUGUUUUACAUAAAAUUCAAGAAACACCCUUAUGCCUCAUUCUAUUUAGAAUUCCCAUUUUUACUCAAAUUUGUCCCAGGAAAACAAAUUUAUUGAAAAGCAAGUUCCGACAGGGUAGACGUGAAGCCCUUCUCCCUGGACGGGCUUUUUCUACAUCUACCAGGUGUGGGUCAUCUUCAACCCCAGCCCCCAUGUUGUAAAAUCGGCAGAGCUCAGACUGAAGACUUUAUUACUCGUUUCCUCCCUUGUACAAGUAUUUGAUGGUCCCAAGAGCAUGAGCUUUAGAGCCAGACAGCCAUUAUGAAUGCCAGUUCUGCCAUUCCUUACGUCUGUCACACUGGACAGGUGACAGAGCUCUCCGAGUAUCACGUUCCUCUCCAGAAAUGGGAAUGAUAACACUUGCUGUACGGGGUUGUGGUGACAAUUAGAUGAGAGGAUCCAGGAGGUGGUGAAACAGGUCCUGACACAUAGUAAGUACUCAACAGUGUUGGUGGUUAUGACCAGCCCCUGCCAUGUUCCUAGGCAUUGGGAAUCUGCUGUUGAACAAUAAAACAUCCUUCCCUGAUGAUAUUUACAAUUUAAUGAGAAAGACAAGUAUUAAGUAACCACGCAAAUUGAAAAAUGUAUCCUGAAACACAAUACUAAAAGGAGGGCAGGUGCCAUCGAAGCCUGUGGUGACUGCAUUUGCCAGUGGGGAUGUCCCCACGACAGACCUUCCCUGAAUUCCGAAGGAUGAGUAGAACUUAACAAUUAGGCACAGGAGAAACAGAGCAGAGCUCCAGGGAGAAGGAAGUGGCCCUCUUUCUUUCAUUUUUCCCCUAUAUUGUACAUGUCAACUAGUGUCUUCAAGAACUGCCUAAUAGUUAGAAUUUACUGCAAUGCACAAAAAAUUCCACUAAUCCCUCUAAAACAAUCAGCAAUGACAUUACACCCUAAACACCAUCCAUUAUCCCUCCUUCAAUGCCAUAUAAGAGCUGAAACAGCAUACUCUUAGCUUGUACCACAGAAAAAUACUUAUUUUCUAAAGUGCACCAAAUAAAACAUUAGAAAGACAUUCAGGACAGAACACUAAAACUCUAUUUUUUUAACUGCCUGCAUUAAGAAAAGAUAGCAAAUAUAUCCCAUAAAAAACUAUUUGGACGAGAUCUGCUUUUAAUCUAUGGCUGAUGAAUCAAUUUUGUUUCAAGUCCAUAUUUUACAGCAAAAUCAUAUUUUGUCCUAUAGCAUGAUGGAACUUGAGAAAUAAAUAUUUUUUGAGACCUAAAUUUCAAAGGACUCAUAAGUAUGUCUGAGGUAGAAAUCCCAGAAUUACUUUCCCAAGCCCUGUGGCUUCCAGUUUGUAGGAAAACAAUUUCCAAUUUGCUUUCUACUUUUCUCCCCUUGUGGCACCUCAGAUCUCAUAGCUAUUGUGCAGCAAGUUAGCCCACACCUGCUCCAAACACCUGACGCUGGUGCUGUCUCCACCUCCUUAUAGGUAACUUCCUUUUCGCCUUCAGUAGCUCUUCUCUACAGUCUAGGGCCUCAACCCUUCCUCAUCACUGGCCUCCAAUUCCUUGGAGCAAGUUUUAAUAAGUGUGUUAAAACUUAAAGUCUCAUUUCUUUUCAAAGUGAUAGAAUACUGGUGUGAAAAGAGAGGCAUAUAAUGCUGUACACCUCCCCAAACAAUUCGUUAUCAUUCCUUUAAAAAUGGAGAUGAAUGCUUCUGCUACCAUGACAGCACCCUCUCGCCCUGCUCUGGGCAGUGCUGGGGCCUAACCUGUCCCCACAGGCAACGUGAUGGUUUUCGUAAAGGAAAGAGGAAGACAGCAAAGUAUAAAUACUGCGUAGUAUCAACGAAUAUGUGGAAUGUAUGUAUUUUAAAGGCGAUUCCAUAGAGACUGAGAAUAGCAUGGUGGUUGUCAGUGGCUGGGGGGAGGGAGCUGGGGAGACGUAGGUCAAAGGGUUUAGUUAUAGAAGAUGCUCUGAGGACCUUCUCGGUCACUACAGCCAAUGAUACAGCACCGUCUACUUGAAAGUGGCUGAGGGGAGGUCUCCAGCAUUCUUGGCACACACACACCUACACACACAUACACACAGAGAGUUCACUAUGCGACGUGGUGGUUGUGUUAGUUGCCUUGAUCUUGGUAAUCAUCCCGCCAUGUAUGUGUACAUAAACCAUUGCGUGGUGCCCUUACACCACACACAACUGUAUACACUGCACUGUACACAAUUACAGUUACAUAUAAUUACAUGUAAUUACACAGUUAUGCACAUAAACAAUUACCUUUGUCAAUCAUUCCUCCAAAGAUGGAGAAACUGAAAAACAAAAACUGAAGGAGGAAGACAACAGAAAACCGUCAUGCGGGGUCUCUACCCUUUUCUACAUGGGGGGGAAUUCUUCAUGACGAACAAAAAAACCCACGUGCUUUGGUUUUCAGAGUCUAACUUUUUGUUACAUAUGAAGAAAACAUUGGUUUUCUUUCAAACUACCAGGAAAAGAAAGGAAAACAACCAAAUACUACCUUCUUGAUGGAAACACAUUUUACUAAAUGUUACAGCUUUAAAUUUUUUAGGUCUGUAAGAUCAUGAAUACCAUCAUCCAUACUUUUCCUCAGCAGUGCAAUAAAAAAAAUAUUUACUAAUGACGUCAGAUAACCAAGACGGCAACAACUAAUUCCAGAACCCAAGAUUUUGCUAGCUCAGAUUUUUCUGUAAUUCCUAUAAACCUCCAGAGAUAGUCUACCUUUUUAUCUUUAACAAAACAAAGUUAACUUGACCAUUAUUUAAUGUCUCUGAUAAGAUUCUAUAAUGACAGAUGAAGACAAAAAUAAAGAUAGUCUAUAUUUUCGAGGAAAAAAGGCAGCCAUAAUUCUAUUUUGUGAAUGGACAACUUAUUUGCUUUCAUCCUU
RNAcentral lists this long non-coding RNA (4161 nucleotides) under Sus scrofa (pig). RNAcentral's name for it is "lncRNA (ENSSSCG00025038557.1)". The record is from RNAcentral. Lineage: Eukaryota; Metazoa; Chordata; Mammalia; Artiodactyla; Suidae.